RNAcentral lists this ribosomal RNA (792 nucleotides) under uncultured archaeon. Its description in RNAcentral is "bacterial SSU rRNA". It matches the Rfam family "Archaeal small subunit ribosomal RNA", at positions 85 to 879 of the family's 1478-position model. The record is from RNAcentral.
ACUGCUCAGUAACACGUGGACAACCUGCCCUUAGGUUGGGUAUAAACCCGGGAAACUGGGUAUAAUACCCGAUAGGUCUCGAUUGCUGGAAUGCAUCGAGAUUUAAAGCUCCGGCGCCAAGGAUGGGUCUGCGGCCUAUCAGGUAGUAGUGGGUGUAGCGUACCUACUAGCCUACGACGGGUACGGGUUGUGAGAGCAAGAGCCCGGAGAUGGAUUCUGAGACACGAAUCCAGGCCCUACGGGGUGCAGCAGGCGCGAAAACUUUACAAUGCUGGCAACAGCGAUAAGGGAACCUCGAGUGCCAGGUUACAAAUCUGGCUGUCGAGAUGCCUAAAAAGCAUUUCAUAGCAAGGGCCGGGCAAGACCGGUGCCAGCCGCCGCGGUAACACCGGCGGCUCGAGUGGUAACCGUUAUUAUUGGGUCUAAAGGGUCUGUAGCCGGCCGGAUAAGUCUCUUGAGAAAUCUGGCAGCUUAACUGUCAGGCUUUCAGGAGAUACUGUCUGGCUCGAGGCCGGGAGAGGUGAGAGGUACUUCAGGGGUAGGGGUGAAAUCUUGUAAUCCUUGAAGGACCACCAGUGGCGAAGGCGUCUCACCAGAACGGACCUGACGGCAAGGGACGAAAGCUAGGGGCACGAACCGGAUUAGAUACCCGGGUAGUCCUAGCCGUAAACGAUACUCGCUAGGUGUCGGCCACGGUGCGACCGUUGUCGGUGCCGUAGGGAAGCCGUGAAGCGAGCCACCUGGGAAGUACGGCCGCAAGGCUGAAACUUAAAGGAAUUGGCGGGGGAGCAC